This 449-nucleotide ribosomal RNA is filed under the name uncultured bacterium. RNAcentral's name for it is "bacterial SSU rRNA". It matches the Rfam family "Bacterial small subunit ribosomal RNA", at positions 343 to 791 of the family's 1533-position model. The record is from RNAcentral.
GGGAGGCAGCAGUGGGGAAUCUUGCGCAAUGGUCGAAAGACUGACGCAGCGACGCCGCGUGUGGGAGGACGCCUUUCGGGGUGUAAACCACUGUUGCCCGGGACGAACUGCUCGAUUCGUCGAGCUUGACGGUACCGGGUGAGGAAGCACCGGCUAACUCCGUGCCAGCAGCCGCGGUAAUACGGAGGGUGCGAGCGUUGUCCGGAAUCAUUGGGCGUAAAGGGCGCGUAGGUGGCCCGGUCAGUUCGUGGUGAAAGCGCGGGGCUCAACCCUGCGUCGGCCAUGAAUACUGCCGCGGCUGGAGCACUGUAGAGGCAGGCGGAAUUCCGGGUGUAGCGGUGGAAUGCGUAGAGAUCCGGAAGAACACCGGUGGCGAAGGCGGCCUGCUGGGCAGUUGCUGACACUGAGGCGCGACAGCGUGGGGAGCAAACAGGAUUAGAUACCCCGGU